Molecule: ribosomal RNA, 254 nt
Filed under: uncultured bacterium
Lineage: Bacteria
Description: partial 16S ribosomal RNA
Rfam family: Bacterial small subunit ribosomal RNA
Source: RNAcentral
UACGUAGGGGGCAAGCGUUGUCCGGAAUCAUUGGGCGUAAAGCGCGCGUAGGCGGCCCGGUAAGUCCGCUGUGAAAGUCAAAGGCUCAACCUUUGAAUGUCAGCGGAUACUGCCGGGCUAGAGUCCGGAAGAGGCGAGUGGAAUUCCUGGUGUAGCGGUGAAAUGCGCAGAUAUCAGGAGGAACACCGGUGGCGAAGGCGGGUCUCUGGGCCGAUACUGACGCUGAGGAGCGAAAGCCAGGGGAGCAAACGGGG